UACGGCCGCAUCACGUUGAAAAAUCGGUUCCCGUGCGAUCACUGAAGUUAAGCAACGGCGGGCCUGGUUAGAUGGGUGACCGUUUGGGAAUACCAAGUGCUGUAAG
This is a non-coding RNA of Acanthosepion pharaonis, 106 nucleotides long. The record is from the annotation of a GenBank genome assembly. Lineage: Eukaryota; Metazoa; Mollusca; Cephalopoda; Sepiida; Sepiidae.